UACCAGCACCCCGAGUGGUCGGGACGAUUAUUGGGCCUAAAGCAUCCGUAGCCGGUUCUGCAAGUCCCCCGUUAAAUCCAGCUGCUCAACAGAUGGGCCGCGGAGGAUACUACAGAGCUAGGAGGCAGGAGAGGCAAGCGGUACUCAGUGGGUAGGGGUAAAAUCCGUUGAUCCAUUGAAGACCACCAGUGGCGAAGGCGGCUUGCCAGAACGCACUCGACGGUGAGGGAUGAAAGCUGGGGGAGCAAACCUG
RNAcentral lists this ribosomal RNA (253 nucleotides) under uncultured bacterium. RNAcentral describes it as "partial 16S ribosomal RNA". It matches the Rfam family "Archaeal small subunit ribosomal RNA", at positions 474 to 727 of the family's 1478-position model. The record is from RNAcentral.